CCCUUAGAUGUUCUGGGCCGCACGCGUGCUACACUGAUGCAUUCAACGAGUCUAAAACCUGGUCUGAUAGGGCUGGGUAAUCUUUUGAAAGUGCAUCGUGAUUGGGAUAGAUGAUUGCAAUUUUUCAUCUUCAACGAGGAAUGCCUAGUAAACGCAAGUCAUCAGCUUGCAUUGAUUACGUCCCUGCCCUUUGUACACACCGCCCGUCGCUCCUACCGAUUGAAUGAUCCGAUGAAUAUCAUGGAUUGAGGAUGCAAGUAGGUUCGCCUAUCUUCAUCUUCGAGAAGUGAAGUAAAUCUUAUCAUUUAGAGGAAGGAGAAGUCGUAACA
Molecule: ribosomal RNA, 329 nt
Filed under: uncultured eukaryote
Lineage: Eukaryota
Description: partial 18S ribosomal RNA
Rfam family: Eukaryotic small subunit ribosomal RNA
Source: RNAcentral